CCAGCAGCCGCGGUAAUACGGAGGGGGUUAGCGUUGUUCGGAAUUACUGGGCGUAAAGCGCGCGUAGGCGGAUUAGAAAGUUGGGGGUGAAAUCCCGGGGCUCAACCCCGGAACUGCCUCCAAAACUGCUAGUCUAGAGUUCGAGAGAGGUGAGUGGAAUUCCGAGUGUAGAGGUGAAAUUCGUAGAUAUUCGGAGGAACACCAGUGGCGAAGGCGGCUCACUGGCUCGAUACUGACGCUGAGGUGCGAAAGUGUGGGGAGCAAACAGGAUUAGAUACCCUGGUAGUCCACACCGUAAACGAUGAAUGCCAGUCGUCGGGUAGUAUACUAUUCGGUGACACACCUAACGGAUUAAGCAUUCCGCCUGGGGAGUACGGUCGCAAGAUUAAAACUCAAA
RNAcentral lists this ribosomal RNA (397 nucleotides) under uncultured bacterium. Its description in RNAcentral is "bacterial SSU rRNA". It matches the Rfam family "Bacterial small subunit ribosomal RNA", at positions 508 to 905 of the family's 1533-position model. The record is from RNAcentral.